CCUACGGGAGGCAGCAGUGGGGAAUCUUGGACAAUGGGCGCAAGCCUGAUCCAGCCAUGCCGCGUGAGUGAAGAAGGCCCUAGGGUUGUAAAGCUCUUUCGGCGGGGACGAUAAUGACGGUACCCGCAGAAGAAGCCCCGGCUAACUCCGUGCCAGCAGCCGCGGUAAUACGGAGGGGGCUAGCGUUGUUCGGAAUUACUGGGCGUAAAGCGCACGUAGGCGGACUGUUAAGUCGGGGGUGAAAUCCUGGGGCUCAACCUCAGAAUUGCCUCCGAUACUGGCAGUCUCGAGUGCGGGAGAGGUGAGUGGAAUUCCCAGUGUAGAGGUGAAAUUCGUAGAUAUUGGGAAGAACACCAGUGGCGAAGGCGGCUCACUGGCCCGUAACUGACGCUGAGGUGCGAAAGCGUGGGGAGCAAACAGGAUUAGAUACCCCAGUAGUC
Molecule: ribosomal RNA, 440 nt
Filed under: uncultured bacterium
Lineage: Bacteria
Description: bacterial SSU rRNA
Rfam family: Bacterial small subunit ribosomal RNA
Source: RNAcentral